GAUGAACGCUGGCGGCGUGCUUAAUACAUGCAAGUCGAACGGACAGACCCUGCUUUUGUUGGGUGCUCGUUAGCCGCAGGCGUGUGAGACACGCGUGUAUCCUCUCCCUGUCUUUCUGGUAACAUCAGGAAAAUCCGGCUCAUAUCCGGUAUAAUCUCCUGCAGCGUGGUGGUGGUUAGAAAGAUUCGGCGGUUCGGGCUGGUCUCGCGGGUUAUCCACUUGAUUGUGGGGUAGUGGAUUACCAAGGCUUUGACGGCUAGCCGGCAUGAGAGGGUGACCGGCGACAUUGGGACUGAGAGAGGGCGCAGACGGCUACGGGAGGCAGAGGGGGAGAAUAUGGCACAAUGGGCGGAAGCCUGAUGCAGCAACGCCGCGUGCGGGAUGACGUCCUUCGGGCGGUAAACCGCUUUGGAAUGUGACGAAGCGGGAGUGACGGUAACGGGUAAAGAAGCACCGGCUAACUACGUG
Molecule: ribosomal RNA, 468 nt
Filed under: uncultured bacterium
Lineage: Bacteria
Description: partial 16S ribosomal RNA
Rfam family: Bacterial small subunit ribosomal RNA
Source: RNAcentral